AUGCAUGAUGCAGCUUCUUGGGGAAUUGCUGGUGUAGAUUUUGACGUUGUGCAUUACGGGUAAUGGAGCUGUGAUGUUUGCUUUUCAUUCAAGAUAUAAUUUACUCAAAACCUAAAUGUCUCAUUCUUCUCAUUCACGCCGCUUUGUGAUACUCUCAUACGCUCUUUGUAAUCUAUCAAUCUCUGCAUCAACUUCGAAUUCAUCAUCCUGAUCGCUACAUCUUCUUCUUCAAUCCCCAAUUACCAGAAUUACUGAGCAGAUCAAUCGCUAUUUGUAAUUGAAACCCUAACUAUCAAAAAGUGAUUCUGAUUCCAUCAAUCUUGCCUAAAAUCUUAUGUGUUCUUCGAUCUAAACAGAUUGGAUUUAAAGUUGUGAGGGAUGCUACGCCGGUGAGAUGAAUUGCCAUGAAAUAUUACUGCAAACUAACUAACUGAGAUGUGUAAUUGUUAUAUUUUAUAAAUAAUUUCAAACCUAAAAUAGAAGUCAAAUUUGUGGACAAGGUUAGGUGAGGGAUUAGUGCUAUAAUGUAUAUUAAGAAAUUUGUAAGGCUUACAGGUGAAUUAAUUUUUUUUUCUUUAUGGUGAACAUGG
This 590-nucleotide long non-coding RNA is filed under the name Helianthus annuus (common sunflower). The record is from RNAcentral. Lineage: Eukaryota; Viridiplantae; Streptophyta; Magnoliopsida; Asterales; Asteraceae.